Molecule: non-coding RNA, 3920 nt
Organism: Musa acuminata subsp. malaccensis (wild Malaysian banana)
Lineage: Eukaryota; Viridiplantae; Streptophyta; Magnoliopsida; Zingiberales; Musaceae
Source: RefSeq, a predicted model, not a curated record
AGGUGGCCCUCAUGUGGGCGGUGUCUCAUUUGGUUUCAUUUGGGGGUGGGUUUUGUGGGGAGCGACCGAGACCUCUCAUAAAUCGGCCGUGGUGGUGUGGUGUGGAGGCGGCGCCUAGUUUGUUCUCCGGAUCACCACUUGCUCGCUUGCGGCGUCGGCCGUCGCCUUUUCCCGGUCCCGCUCCCCUGGUGGUUCAAGCAUCGGGAGCGCAUUGACGCCGGUUUCGAUCGCAGCCUUCCCGAUCUACUCUCUUCGGCUGACGGGAUCCGUCUAUUUCAUGCCGGCCGCAGCAUGUGUGGUGGUCCGGAGCGCAUAAAGCCUUCAUCGUCGUCGUCGCCGGCUCCAACCUCACGGGGAGAGCAUCAACAACACGGUCCGGUCUUGGGAAUGAAUCAUCUCACCGUCGAGAUCGCUGACUCCUCGAGCCUCCUUGAACUCGCAGCCAACAACGAUGCGGAAGCCUUCGGGCGAUCCCUCGAUCGUGACCCGUUGGCCGUGGACGACGUCGGCCUCUGGUACGGCCGCAGGAAGGGCUCCAACCGCAUGGUGCUCGAGCACCGAACUCCCCUGAUGGUGGCGGCCACGUACGGCAGCCUUGACGUCCUCAAGUUCAUCCUCUCCCUGCCGUCUGUCGAGGUCAACCGUGCGUCCGCCCCAGACAACACCACCGCGCUCCACUGUGCUGCAUCCGGCGGAUCCUUUGAUGCUGUUGAUGCCGUGAAGGCACUCCUCGCGGCUGGUGCCGAUCCUACGUUGGUCGAUGUCAAUGGGGACCGCCCGGCCGAUGUGAUUGUCGUGCCUCCCAAGUUGCCUGAUGUGAAGAGUGCCCUCGAACAGCUUCUUGGAAGGCGCAGUAAUGCGUCGGGUGGUGGUGCCGAUCACCAUCAUCUUCCCCUUGGUGUGAUGACCGACUCGACGAGCUCCAAUUCGCCACCGCGUUCUUUGUCCCCUGAUGAGGACGGCACUCAAUCGUCCAACUCGACUUCCUCUCCUCCGACGGCAAAGGACCCUGACCUUCCCCCGGUGAGGGUGUCCGAGAAGAAAGAGUAUCCAGUAGACCCGUCGCUUCCAGAUAUCAAGAACAGCAUAUAUACCACGGAUGAGUUCCGUAUGUUCUCCUUCAAGAUCCGCCCGUGCUCUCGUGCUUAUUCGCAUGACUGGACCGAGUGCCCCUUCGUCCACCCUGGUGAGAACGCCCGGCGGCGUGACCCGAGGAAAUACCACUACAGCUGCGUCCCGUGCCCUGACUUUCGGAAGGGGUCGUGCCGGAGGGGAGACAUGUGUGAGUAUGCACAUGGGGUGUUCGAAUGCUGGCUUCACCCGGCGCAGUACCGCACGAGACUCUGCAAGGAUGGAACCAGUUGCUCCCGCCGGGUCUGUUUCUUUGCGCACACGAACGAGGAGCUGCGUCCGCUCUAUGUGUCAACUGGCUCUGCUGUUCCUUCUCCACGUGCAACCUCUGCUGCAAUGGAGAUGGCAGCUGCGAUGGGGCUCAUGCCCGGCUCGCCGUCAUCGGUCUCUGCUGUUAUGUCUCCCUUCACGCCACCCAUGUCGCCGUCGGCCAAUGGUAUUGGACACUCUUCGUUGGGUUGGCCGCAGCCAAACAUGCCCACGUUGAAUCUUCCUGCAAGCAAUCUCCAGGCAAGCAGGCUGCGCUCAUCUCUCAGUGUGAGAGACAUCCCUCCGGAUGACCUCUCAGCAAUAUCCGAGUUUGAUACCCAGCAGUUGUUGAAUGACCUGUGCUACUCCCGUCUGAGUUCUUCUGCUGGGAAUUGUACCAUCCGAACCAAUACACUGAAUCCAUCAAACCUUGAUGAUCUUUUUUCAGCAGAGGUCGCCAUAUCUCCAAGGUACAAUUCUGAUCAGGGGGCUGUGUUUUCUCCGUCACACAAGGCAGCUAUACUCAACCAGUUCCAGCAGCAGCAGAGCCUGCUCUCACCCAUUAAUACAAGUGUGUUCUCACCGAAGGCGGUGGAUUCUCAGCAGCUACCUGCUCAUUCAUCACUCUUACAGGCCUCUCUGAAUACCUCUUCUCCUGGUGUCAUGUCUCCACGAAGCAUGGAGCCUGUCUCUCCUGUGAGUUCUCGUCUGGCUGUUCUUUCACAAAGGGAGAGGCAACAGCAGACACUCAGGAGCCUGAGCUCCCGUGAUCUUGGUCCCAUCUCAUCUCCUGUUGUUGGCUCUCCUGUUAACUCAUCAUGGUCCAAGUGGGCAUCCCCCUCCGGUACACCUGAUUGGACAGUGAAUGGUGAAGAGCUGGGACGUCUUAGACGAUCAUCAUCCUUUGAAUUACGAGGAAAUGGGGACGAGCCUGAUCUGUCAUGGGUCCAUUCACUAGUGAGGGAAUCACCACCGGAGAAAGUGAUCUCUGCUGCAAUGGCUUCUGCUGGUCCUUCAAGCUUGUCUGCGGUUGGUGGUGAGAAUUUAAAUUCAAACGGUCAGAUGAAUGGGCAUGAUCAACCUGCAUUGCUUGGUGCAUGGCUUGAGCACCAAGAAAUUUUGGAUGGGAAGCAUUCAGUAAUAUUUAACAGUAAUAUUUAAUGACUCUUAUUAUACAAUAUUUUUUGGUUGGUUGGUGAAGAAGGAAAAGAUGCAGAAAGGAGUGAUUUCAGAGAUUCAUUUCUUCAAAAACCGAUUUAUUAUAAACUUCAUGGAGUUCAGUCAAUUCAAAUAUAGGGGUUGAAUCAAGACCGACUCCAGUGGAACCUUGGAUGUAAUGUCGCUCUGGAUAUGAUAAUUUGGAGAACUGGCUUGUGGCUAAUGAACAUUUGGUUGUGUUCCUUAAUCGUUCUAGGUUCUCUACGAAGAUGGUGAUUUGUGAUGGUUCAAGUCCUUCCUUAAUGCCCUGUAGUGAGCAUGUCUGGGUUUUGAGGUGUCCUUUCCAAGGUUGUGCAAGAAAAAUCAACAUCAAUGUUUGGGAAUUUAUUAUCGCUUUUGUGGUCUAGAUGCCAAUUUCAUCUUGAGGUAGAAAUGAACUUGUGACACCUAACUGGGAUGGUUAAUAUGGAAUGUGUCGAUUGAUUAUUGGAUGUAGAUGGUUGAGAGUUUGGCAUUGUUAGGUGAACAAAACAGUUGUCCUAACCAGUGCUGCUACCUUGGGAUAGCAUUGAUCACUUUUGAGUCUUUUGGUGGCAACCGUGGGUUAUAGGGACCACAUUUGUGUGUACUUUUUUGUGUUAAGGGACUUUGCAUCUUCUCUUCAACCCUUGGCUGUAUGACAUUAUCAGAAUUACAAGUGGAGGAACUCAGACAUGUUAUCUUGCUUGAUGGGCCAAGUAGGUGGUGGGUUUAACUCACUGAUGGAGCUUGGAGAUCUUUGUGGAAGUUUGCUGACGAAGGCAUCCAGGAUUCAGUGGAUGGGCACUGGGAGAGCCUUAACAAUCUACAGAAGAUGCCAUAACCAUGAAGGUUAUGCAAAGAAAUCGGACUUGGAGAUUAUUAUUAGGGAGCAUUGGCUACAUGUGAAAAUGCCAAGAAAGUUCAUCCAACAUAUGGCCUACCAUGCAGUUUCAUGUCAGAGGUAGGUGACAUGUAUGUUGCUUUUACUUUUGUUGGCAGUAUAAAGGUGAGCAGGAGAUUGUUUCAGAGUGAUUGACUCUUUAUUAAUUUGUGAUAUGUGUUGGAUGUUAUGCAUCUGUCCUUACCUUUUUCUUUUCCUCCCUCUUUUAAAGUGGUCUGAUGGGUUGGUGGUGCUGUGUACUAAUGCUGUGAGCAACUUUGGUGCAUGCACCAAAUGCCUGGAUCUGAGUUUGCUUGGAACAAGACUCUACUACACAUUAAAUGGCAUUUAAGGAGAGGAAUUUGGACUGGUUAUUGGCUUCUCUUUAUUUUUUUUAUUUGUUUUAUUUUUUUGAUGUCAUUAAAUUGAUGGUCAACACAUGUUAAAUUGCUUUACUUUUAUAUAAGCCCAUGUUCAAUUA